This 525-nucleotide ribosomal RNA is filed under the name uncultured bacterium. Its description in RNAcentral is "bacterial SSU rRNA". It matches the Rfam family "Bacterial small subunit ribosomal RNA", at positions 984 to 1509 of the family's 1533-position model. The record is from RNAcentral.
ACAUCCAGAGAAUUUAGCAGAGAUGCUUAGUGCCUUCGGGAACUCUGAGACAGGUGCUGCAUGGCUGUCGUCAGCUCGUGUUGUGAAAUGUUGGGUUAAGUCCCGCAACGAGCGCAACCCUUAUCCUUUGUUGCCAGCACGUAAUGGUGGGAACUCAAAGGAGACUGCCGGUGAUAAACCGGAGGAAGGUGGGGAUGACGUCAAGUCAUCAUGGCCCUUACGAGUAGGGCUACACACGUGCUACAAUGGCGCAUACAAAGAGAAGCGACCUCGCGAGAGCAAGCGGACCUCAUAAAGUGCGUCGUAGUCCGGAUUGGAGUCUGCAACUCGACUCCAUGAAGUCGGAAUCGCUAGUAAUCGUAAAUCAGAAUGUUACGGUGAAUACGUUCCCGGGCCUUGUACACACCGCCCGUCACACCAUGGGAGUGGGUUGCAAAAGAAGUAGAUAGCUUAACCUUCGGGAGGGCGUUUACCACUUUGUGAUUCAUGACUGGGGUGAAGUCGUAACAAGGUAAGCGUAGUGCU